This 65-nucleotide transfer RNA is filed under the name pig gut metagenome. It matches the Rfam family "tRNA", at positions 5 to 66 of the family's 71-position model. From Rfam's summary of the family: Transfer RNA (tRNA) molecules are approximately 80 nucleotides in length. Their secondary structure includes four short double-helical elements and three loops (D, anti-codon, and T loops). The record is from RNAcentral.
UCUGUAGCUCAGCAGGUAGAGCAUCGGACUGAAAAUCCGUGUGUCGCCAGUUCAACUCUGGCCGG